This 257-nucleotide ribosomal RNA is filed under the name uncultured Glomus. RNAcentral's name for it is "partial 18S ribosomal RNA". It matches the Rfam family "Eukaryotic small subunit ribosomal RNA", at positions 624 to 886 of the family's 1831-position model. The record is from RNAcentral. Lineage: Eukaryota; Fungi; Glomeromycota; Glomeromycetes; Glomerales; Glomeraceae.
AAGCUCGUAGUUGAAUUUCGGGAUUAGUACGUCGGUCGUGCCUUAGGUACGUACUGGUGUUACUGGUUCCUACCUUCUGACGAACCAUCAUGUCAUUAAUUUGGUGUGGUGGGGAAUCAGGACGGUUACUUUGAAAAAAUUAGAGUGUUUAAAGCAGGCUCGCGCUUGAAUACAUUAGCAUGGAAUAAUGAAAUAGGACGUUGAUCCUAUUUUGUUGGUUUCUAGGAUUGACGUAAUGAUUAAUAGGGAUAGUUGGG